UGAACGCUAGCUACAGGCUUAACACAUGCAAGUCGAGGGGCAGCGGGAUUGAAGCUUGCUUCAAUUGCCGGCGACCGGCGCACGGGUGAGUAACGCGUAUCCAACCUUCCGUACACUCAGGGAUAGCCUUUCGAAAGAAAGAUUAAUACCUGAUGGUAUGAUGAGAUUGCAUGAUAGCAUCAUUAAAGAUUUAUCGGUGUACGAUGGGGAUGCGUUCCAUUAGGUAGUAGGCGGGGUAACGGCCCACCUAGCCAACGAUGGAUAGGGGUUCUGAGAGGAAGGUCCCCCACAUUGGAACUGAGACACGGUCCAAACUCCUACGGGAGGCAGCAGUGAGGAAUAUUGGUCAAUGGACGAGAGUCUGAACCAGCCAAGUAGCGUGAAGGAUGACUGCCCUAUGGGUUGUAAACUUCUUUUAUACGGGAAUAAAGUGAGCCACGUGUGGCUUUUUGUAUGUACCGUAUGAAUAAGGAUCGGCUAACUCCGUG
This 488-nucleotide ribosomal RNA is filed under the name uncultured bacterium. RNAcentral describes it as "bacterial SSU rRNA". It matches the Rfam family "Bacterial small subunit ribosomal RNA", at positions 30 to 507 of the family's 1533-position model. The record is from RNAcentral.